Molecule: long non-coding RNA, 2071 nt
Organism: Brassica rapa (field mustard)
Lineage: Eukaryota; Viridiplantae; Streptophyta; Magnoliopsida; Brassicales; Brassicaceae
Source: RefSeq, a predicted model, not a curated record
CCUAUACUAAAAGGUGAAUAUGAAGAGCAUACAGCAUGCCACGUCAGACAAUAAAAUCAUUCAAUCAUAAAGCUUUAAAUCGCCACGUCAUUUUCACUUAUGUCGAGUGAAGCCCGAAACUGGCCCAAUACAAGCCGUGUCUAGCCUAAGCCCUAAUUUGUCUGAAGCGUAAAGAGUUCUUCCGACUCUUCCACUUCGUCUACCUGAUUUCUCUGUACCUCUGUUACGGCUUGCUCCUCUCUUCUUUAUUGUUUUGUCCUGCCUCCCUCUUCAGACAACACUCGACUCUUCCACUUCGUCUCCACCGUCUCGGUUGAUCUGUAAUCUUCGUCUUCACCUGAAUGCUUUGAAAUCUCUUCCUUGGAUAUGAUGCAACAGCCGAGCAUCUUUCCAUCCUAUAUGUGCAAGGGAGGUAGGGAAUAGGCUAGAAAUCUGGGGAAAACAUGGGUGUGACACUGUUGAACUGCGAGCGUUCUGCUCGAAGCAUUCAGAUAUUCAAGAUAGUGGAAGGCCUAUAAAUGGUGGAAAUAUUAAUGCAGCUGAUCCCCCUGUAUGUCAUCUUCCAACAGAAUCUAUAAGAGUUCGCCUAAUUAAUUAAUGAUGAGACGGGAGUUUAAGUAGGAGCACAAGGUACAGGUUCUGAUAUUUCGAGAAACAGUGAGUUGCAAGAACUGGAAUCACCGCGUUCAGAAUUUGACAGAUCUGCAACAAACAUUGUUGAAUCAGGGAUGACUGAGAGGAGCACCGAUAAUGAAAAAAAUCGAUCCGAGUCUCUUAGUUUUGUACUGAUUCUGAAAAAGUUGAUCAACCUGGGGAAAGUAGAUGUGAAGGAUGUGGUUGCAGAGAUUGGGGCCAAUCCUGAUGCUUUGAAUGCCAAACUUAUGGUAACACUUAGGAUUGAGCCUAGGGUAAGAAGCAUAGUCAGAGGAGUGAGGAGCCUUGGUCUCUGAUGCGGUGGAGGUAGAGAUCCGGCUGCCAUUGUGAUUCUCUUGCUCACUCAUGAUUAAAGACCCAAUCUUAUGUUACGAUUCCGCGAUUCUUCCUCACCUUCUUCGAUACGAUCUCAUGUUAAUUGUGCCUCGACACAAAAAAAAUAUUAUUUUCUUUUCUUUUUCUUUUUGGUUUAGAAUAACUAAAUGAAUUAAAAAUAUUUGGCAGGGUUACACUGGCAUUAUUAAUUUGUUUGUAUAAUCUUUUUUGUAGUUUCUUUGUUACUCGAUCUAUGAUGUAUCCUGCUGUCAACGCAGGGGCACGCCCACCGUGGCGAGAAAAAGGCAGGAGCCUCAGGCCUGCACUUCAAUAAAAAAAUUUAAGGCUCCACUGACUGUACUGAAGUGUCGGGCAGCUAACUGUACUGAAGGCAUUGUGAUGUUAGAUUCUGACAUUGUAGAUCCUGCUGAAAUUUGCACUGGUAAUGGUUUUGUAGUUGAUGAAGCUAAAGCUAAUAAGCCAGUUUUGAAAAAGAAUUCACUGGGAAUUUGCCAUCUGAUCAUUCUCCACAAGAAUAGACCGAACUGGACCACAACCAAACGCAUGGCUCCAUCCUACUGCCACACAGUCAGCAGCAGCGUUUCUGCAUCUCCCUGUCGAGGAUGAGAUAUGGGGAAGAAAUGGUGGUGGUCAAAGAAGUGAUGGAAGAUGUGAUUUGGUUCCGUGGGCCAACAAAUUUGUCACUAUCGCAUCUAUGCACUGCAAGCUCCUUAUGUGAGAAGACUAGAAGUGACACAGCUUCUUAUAUGAGAAGCCUACCAAUCCAAAACCAACAUGGAGGUGUUGUGAGAGGUGGUUACUUAAGGCAGAGGCCAAGCUGGUGAUGGCCAAGGGAAUAAAGGUGGUCAAACUAGAGAUUGUGGUGCCUAAAAUUGGGAUUGAAAAAUGGAAUAAAAAGCUCUGACAUGGUAUUAGGAAGAUCAUGUAGAUAACAAUAGCUGAAGGUUUCUACAGUUGUGGAUCAUCAGGUAAACACAGUCCUAUCUCUCUAGGAGCACCCGGAGCUAAAGCCUUUCUUGCUCAGACUUGUGCAGUGAUCUUUUUCGUAAUUCAGUGGCUUAUUGGCUACAUGACAAUUGUU